AUGGCUUAGAGUAGAACAACUUUGAGACCCUCAACAGGAAUCCACAAAAGAUAGAAAAAUGAUGUGUCUAACUCGAUCAUCCCUCAGAAUUGAAGAAAUGGAGCCUUCCUUCACAGCUCUCAGGAAAAUAUGUUGUUCCCCUGCAACUCAAGCACUCUCAACUUAGGAACCUGAUGUCAAGAGCACAGCUAGCCUAUUGUCCAGGAACUGACCUCCAGCACACACUCACUUCCCCUGGACACCAUGGCAUCACCACCAGCCUCAACUCAUUGGAUCCAGGGAAAUAACGGACUCAGAGGGUCCACUGGCUGAUUGGUCACCAAUCAGAAGCACUCUACACAGAAUGAGUGGGAAGAGUGGCAUGCACAUGAACUGAAAAGUCACGCGAAGGGUGUGGCAGCUACUUUGGCCAUGCACCCCCACCCCAUGCCAGACAUAGAAGAGACUGAGCAGUGAGCAAGCCACAUGGUUACCCACACAAAGAAAAGGGAGAGGAUAACACCGAUGUACUGAGAGCAGCUGAUCAAAGACCACAAAACCCAGGGGAAAAAAGGGCAAAGAGAAGAUGAUGAAACUACUGCCUAGUAGAGCCAGACUGAGUCCAGGACUGUGUGUCGCCAAAGACCACAUGGCUGUCUGACGAAUGCCUUCUCCACCACGCCAAGCCCAGCAGUGGGCUGGAAAGGCAUCUUGGCCAAGGGGAUGGAGAGAAGAGACCCAAAUGACAUUUCUAAAGUGCCAGCUCACCCAGCAGACCAUUUGGGGGGACAACCAGCAUCACCUGAUAGGCUAAAGAGGUGAAACCUUCCACAUUAAAGAAGGUCGAGGACAAAAAAGGCAAGUAAGGUUUCUAGUGAGCACUUCUGAGCUGAAGCAUUUCCUGUUUUUCUUACCACCUUCCAUCCAUAUCCCUUUUCGUAUUUUCUGAGUGUUUCAAGGCGACUGCACCCUCUCUGAUGUUUUGCCAACAGAAACCAGCAACCAGAUCAUUGUCCCUUUACCUGACAAAUAUCUCCACUUAGUUGUCAGUUACUCAACUUCCAUUGUCCCCUUGAUGCAAUUCAUCAGUUGGAAUAGUUGAUUCCAUGGCAAAAUCUGUGUCUUCAUUCCCCAUUAAUGUCUUAUAAAGGCGAAGUACAAUCCUGGCAUCUCCAAGUGGGUCUUGCCCAGAGUAAGAAUUCACUUUCAAAACCCUUUAUAUCCAUCAGCAAAAAUCAAUGUGAUUUUUAAAGGGUCUUUUACUUGUUAGGGCAAUAAAGAUUCUUCAAGCUAAAA
Panthera uncia (snow leopard) is the source of this 1275-nucleotide long non-coding RNA. RefSeq lists it as uncharacterized. The transcript has 3 exons. The record is from RefSeq and is a predicted model, not a curated record. Lineage: Eukaryota; Metazoa; Chordata; Mammalia; Carnivora; Felidae.